Molecule: unclassified non-coding RNA, 89 nt
Filed under: Pseudomonas kilonensis
Lineage: Bacteria; Pseudomonadati; Pseudomonadota; Gammaproteobacteria; Pseudomonadales; Pseudomonadaceae
Source: RNAcentral
UGUGGGAGCGGGCUUGCUCGCGAAUGCGGUGUGUCAGCCAGCAUUUACUUCACUGACACUCCGCAUUCGCGAGCAAGCCCGCUCCCACA